GAUGAACGCUGGCGGCGUGCCUAAUACAUGCAAGUCGAGCGAACAGACGAGGAGCUUGCUCCUCUGACGUUAGCGGCGGACGGGUGAGUAACACGUGGAUAACCUACCUAUAAGACUGGGAUAACUUCGGGAAACCGGAGCUAAUACCGGAUAAUAUAUUGAACCGCAUGGUUCAAUAGUGAAAGACGGUUUUGCUGUCACUUAUAGAUGGAUCCGCGCCGCAUUAGCUAGUUGGUAAGGUAACGGCUUACCAAGGCAACGAUGCGUAGCCGACCUGAGAGGGUGAUCGGCCACACUGGAACUGAGACACGGUCCAGACUCCUACGGGAGGUAGCAGUAGGGAAUCUUCCGCAAAGGGCGAAAGCCUGACGGAGCAACGCCGCGUGAGUGAUGAAGGUCUUCGGAUCGUAAAACUCUGUUAUCAGGGAAGAACAAAUGUGUAAGUAACUAUGCACGUCUUGACGGUACCUAAUCAGAAAGCCACGGCUAACUACGUG
This 497-nucleotide ribosomal RNA is filed under the name uncultured bacterium. RNAcentral describes it as "partial 16S ribosomal RNA". It matches the Rfam family "Bacterial small subunit ribosomal RNA", at positions 28 to 507 of the family's 1533-position model. The record is from RNAcentral.